RNAcentral lists this ribosomal RNA (405 nucleotides) under uncultured bacterium. RNAcentral describes it as "partial 16S ribosomal RNA". It matches the Rfam family "Bacterial small subunit ribosomal RNA", at positions 33 to 526 of the family's 1533-position model. The record is from RNAcentral.
GACGACGCUGGCGGCGUGCCUAAUACAUGCAAGUCGAACGAGUGGCGGACGGGUGAGUAACACGUGGGAAUCUACACAUCAGAGGGGGAUAACACUUGGAAAAUGCUGCAAAUACUGCAUACUGAUGGAUGUACCUGCGGUGCAUUAGCUAGUAGGUGGGGUAAAGGCUCACCUAGGCGACGAUCUCUAGCUGGUCUGAGAGUAUGAUCAGCCACACUGGAACUGAGACACGGUCCAGACUCCUACGGGAGGCAGCAGUGGGGAAUAUUGCACAAUGGGCGCAAGCCUGAUGCAGCCAUGCCGCGUGUAUGAAGAAGGCCUUAGGGUUGUAAAGUACUUUCAGCGGGGAGGCGUUACCCGCAGAAGAAGCACCGGCUAACUCCGUGCCAGCAGCCGCGGUAAUUC